This 490-nucleotide ribosomal RNA is filed under the name uncultured bacterium. RNAcentral describes it as "partial 16S ribosomal RNA". It matches the Rfam family "Bacterial small subunit ribosomal RNA", at positions 28 to 507 of the family's 1533-position model. The record is from RNAcentral.
GAUGAACGCUCGCUACAGGCUUAACACGUGCAAGUCGCGGGGCAGCAUGGGGGUUGCUUGCAAUCCCCGAUGGCGACCGGCGCACGGGUGAGUAACGCGUAUCCAACCUGCCCUUCACCACGGGAUAACCCGGCGAAAGUCGGACUAAUACCGUAUGUUGUCCAUUGACGGCAUCCGAUUUGGACGAAAGGCUUGGCGGUGAGGGAUGGGGAUGCGUCCGAUUAGCCAGACGGCGGGGUAACGGCCCACCGUGGCUACGAUCGGUAGGGGUUCUGAGAGGAAGGUCCCCCACACUGGAACUGAGACACGGUCCAGACUCCUACGGGAGGCAGCAGUGAGGAAUAUUGGGCAAUGGGCGUAAGCCUGAACCAGCCAAGUAGCGUGCAGGAGGACGGCCCUAUGGGUUGUAAACUGCUUUUAUGCGGGGAUAAAGUGGCCCACGUGUGGGCUUUUGCAGGUACCGCAUGAAUAAGGACCGGCUAAUUCCGUG